This is a small RNA of Pontibacillus marinus BH030004 = DSM 16465, 67 nucleotides long. It matches the Rfam family "Bacillaceae-1 RNA". The record is from Rfam. Lineage: Bacteria; Bacillati; Bacillota; Bacilli; Caryophanales; Bacillaceae.
GAGAAAGUAUGAUCGACUAAGUUCGUCACGUCCUGUGACAACGUCGAUCUGACCCACGUCGUGUGGG